Molecule: transfer RNA, 68 nt
Filed under: Marmota monax (woodchuck)
Lineage: Eukaryota; Metazoa; Chordata; Mammalia; Rodentia; Sciuridae
Description: tRNA.Thr
Source: RNAcentral
AUUGUAGCUCAGUGGCAGAGUGCUUGCCUAGUAUGUGUGAGGCCCUGGGUUCAAUCCUUAGCACCAUA